GUCGAUGGACGGAAGUCUGAACCAGCCAAGUAGCGUGCAGGAUUGACGGCCUCAUGGGUUGUAAACUGCUUUUGUUGGGGAGUAAAGUGGGGCACGCGUGCCUUUUUGCAUUUACCCUUCGAAUAAGGACCGGCUAAUUCCGUGCCAGCAGCCGCGGUAAUACGGAAGGUCCAGGCGUUAUCCGGAUUUAUUGGGUUUAAAGGGAGUGUAGGCGGUCUGUUAAGCGUGUUGUGAAAUUUAGGUGCUCAACAUCUACCUUGCAGCGCGAACUGGCGGACUUGAGUGCACGCAACGUAUGCGGAAUUCAUGGUGUAGCGGUGAAAUGCUUAGAUAUCAUGACGAACUCCGAUUGCGAAGGCAGCGUACGGGAGUGUUACUGACGCUUAAGCUCGAAGGUGCGGGUAUCGAACAGGAUUAGAUACCCUGGUAGUUCGCACGGUAAACGAUGGGAUGCCCGCUGUUAGCGCCUGGGCGUUAGCGGCUAAGCGAAAGCAUUAAGCAUUCCACCUGGGGGAGUAC
RNAcentral lists this ribosomal RNA (519 nucleotides) under Prevotella intermedia. Its description in RNAcentral is "bacterial SSU rRNA". It matches the Rfam family "Bacterial small subunit ribosomal RNA", at positions 367 to 883 of the family's 1533-position model. Lineage: Bacteria; Pseudomonadati; Bacteroidota; Bacteroidia; Bacteroidales; Prevotellaceae. The record is from RNAcentral.